Molecule: ribosomal RNA, 465 nt
Filed under: uncultured bacterium
Lineage: Bacteria
Description: partial 16S ribosomal RNA
Rfam family: Bacterial small subunit ribosomal RNA
Source: RNAcentral
GACGAACGCUGGCGGCGUGCUUAACACAUGCAAGUCGAACGGAAAGGCCCUGCUUGCAGGGUCCUCGAGUGGCGAACGGGUGAGUAACACGUGGGUGAUCUGCCCUGCACUUCGGGAUAAGCUUGGGAAACUGGGUCUAAUACCGGAUAGGAGCCAUCUUUAGUGUGGUGGUUGGAAAGUUUUUUCGGUGUGGGAUGAGCUCGCGGCCUAUCAGCUUGUUGGUGGGGUAAUGGCCUACCAAGGCGGCGACGGGUAGCCGGCCUGAGAGGGUGUACGGCCACAGUGGGACUGAGAUACGGCCCAGACUCCUACGGGAGGCAGCAGUGGGGAAUAUUGCACAAUGGGCGCAAGCCUGAUGCAGCGACGCCGCGUGGGGGAUGAAGGCCUUCGGGUUGUAAUCUCCUUUCGCUAGGGACGAAGCUUUUUGUGACGGUACCUAGAUAAGAAGCACCGGCUAACUACGUG